RNAcentral lists this microRNA precursor (170 nucleotides) under Cajanus cajan (pigeon pea). RNAcentral's name for it is "miRNA gene-KK1_047356". The record is from RNAcentral. Lineage: Eukaryota; Viridiplantae; Streptophyta; Magnoliopsida; Fabales; Fabaceae.
AUUUUAUUAUAUUUUAUAUGUUGAUUGUAAGGUUGUUUGUAAAAUCAUGUAAUUUUAAAAAUAUAUAUAUAUAUAUAUAUAUAUAUAUAUAUAUAUAUAUAUAUAUAUAUUUUUAAAAUUACAUGAUUUUACAAACAACCUUACAAUCAACAUAUAAAAUAUAAUAAAAU